RNAcentral lists this ribosomal RNA (251 nucleotides) under uncultured Coriobacteriaceae bacterium. RNAcentral's name for it is "partial 16S ribosomal RNA". It matches the Rfam family "Bacterial small subunit ribosomal RNA", at positions 88 to 339 of the family's 1533-position model. The record is from RNAcentral. Lineage: Bacteria; Bacillati; Actinomycetota; Coriobacteriia; Coriobacteriales; Coriobacteriaceae.
GCAUAGAGUGGCGAACGGCUGAGUAACACGUGGGCAACCUGCCCCCCGCACCGGGACAGCCUCGGGAAACCGUGGGUAAUACCGGGUACUCCGCCACCCCCGCAUGGGGGAGGCGGGAGAGCGUAUGCGGCGGGGGAUGGGCCCGCGGCCUGUUAGCUAGUUGGCGGGGCAACGGCCCACCAAGGCGAUUAUGGGUAGCUGGGUUGAGAGACCGACCAGCCAGAUUGGGACUGAGACACGGCCCAGACUCC